Molecule: ribosomal RNA, 393 nt
Filed under: uncultured bacterium
Lineage: Bacteria
Description: partial 16S ribosomal RNA
Rfam family: Bacterial small subunit ribosomal RNA
Source: RNAcentral
CUACGGAGGAUGCAAGCGUUAUCCGGAUUUAUUGGGUUUAAAGGGUGCGUAGGCGGUUUGCUAAGCGGGAGGUGAAAUGCCGGCGCUCAACGUCGGAAGUGCCUCCCGAACUGGUGGACUUGAAUGACUCUGCCGUGGGAGGGAUGUGUAGUGUAGCGGUGAAAUGCUUAGAGAUUACACAGAACACCGAUUGCGAAGGCAUCUCACGAAGGGUUGAUUGACGCUGAGGCACGAAAGCGUGGGGAUCAAACAGGAUUAGAUACCCUGGUAGUCCACGCAGUAAACGAUGAUGGCUAACCGCUGGAUCCAUCGGUUCAGUGGCCAAGCGAAAGCGAUAAGCCAUCCACCUGGGGAGUACGACCGCAAGGUUGAAACUCAAAUGAAUUGACGGGG